AGUGAACGCUGGCGGUAGGCCUAACACAUGCAAGUCGAACGGCAGCACAGUAAGAGCUUGCUCUUACGGGUGGCGAGUGGCGGACGGGUGAGGAAUACAUCGGAAUCUACUUUUUCGUGGGGGAUAACGUAGGGAAACUUACGCUAAUACCGCAUACGACCUACGGGUGAAAGCAGGGGAUCUUCGGACCUUGCGCGAUUGAAUGAGCCGAUGUCGGAUUAGCUAGUUGGCGGGGUAAAGGCCCACCAAGGCGACGAUCCGUAGCUGGUCUGAGAGGAUGAACCGACGACGUGGAAGUGAGGCAGGCCCCAGACUCCGGCGGGGGGCACCAUGGGGGAAUUUUGGACAAGGGGCUCGAGCCUACUCCACCCUUCCCGCGUGGGGAAAAAAGGCCUUCGGUUUGUAAGCCCUUUUUGUGGAAAAAGAAAAAGAGGGAGUUAAUCCCCCGCUUUCCUGACGGGACCAAAAAAAUAAGCACCGACAAUUUUCGUG
RNAcentral lists this ribosomal RNA (492 nucleotides) under uncultured bacterium. RNAcentral describes it as "partial 16S ribosomal RNA". It matches the Rfam family "Bacterial small subunit ribosomal RNA", at positions 29 to 507 of the family's 1533-position model. The record is from RNAcentral.